UUGAAGGAUUUGUAAGAAAUGUUUGAAGAAACUGACUCAUUGUUAAACACUAAAUCAGUUUCCUCAAACAUUUCUUACAAAUCCUUCAA
This is a non-coding RNA of Paramuricea clavata, 89 nucleotides long. Lineage: Eukaryota; Metazoa; Cnidaria; Anthozoa; Malacalcyonacea; Plexauridae. The record is from the annotation of a GenBank genome assembly.